UGGGCGCGGGUGUGCCCGUGGCCUAUUUUUGGCACACGGAGGCCGCCCGCAAAGUCUGGGGCCAUUCCGAGUCCGGCGGACGAACCUCGCCCACGCCCCCCACCAAGGCUAUAGCCCACCCGUUUUUUGGCCAUUUUUCCGCUGGGGGGUCUUGGCGCCCCGACCUUCGGGGGCUGAUUUUUGGGCGCGGGUGUGCCCGUGGCCUAUUUUUGGCACACGGAGGCCGCCCGCAAAGUCUGGGGCCAUUCCGAGUCCGGCGGACGAACUUCGCCCACGCCCCCCACCAAGGCUAUAGCCCACCCGUUUUUUGGCCAUUUUUCCGCUGGGUGGUCUUGGCGCCCCGACCUUCGGGGGCUGAAUUUUGGGCGCGGGUGUGCCCGUGGCCUAUUUUUGGCACACGGAGGCCGCCCGCAAAGUCUGGGGCCAUUCCGAGUCCGGCGGACGAACUUCGCCCACGCCCCCCACCAAGGCUAUAGCCCACCCGUUUUUUGGCCAUUUUUCCGCUGGGGGGUCUUGGUGCCCCGACCUUCAGGGGCUGAAUUUUGGGCGCGGGUUUGCCCGUGGCCUAUUUUUGGCACACGGAGGCCGCCCGCAAAGUCUGGGGCCAUUCCGAGUCCGGCGGACGAACUUCGCCCACGCCCCCCACCAAGGCUAUAGCCCACCCGUUUUUUGGCCAUUUUUCCGCUGGGGGGUCUUGGCGCCCCGACCUUCGGGGGCUGAAUUUUGGGCGCGGGUGUGCCCGUGGCCUAUUUUUGGCACACGGAGGCCGCCCGCAAAGUCUGGGGCCAUUCCGAGUCCGGCGGACGAACUUCGCCCACGCCCCCCACCAAGGCUAUAGCCCACCCGUUUUUUGGCCAUUUUUCCGCUGGGGGGUCUUGGCGCCCCGACCUUCGGGGGCUGAUUUUUGGGCACGGCUGUGCCCGUGGCCUAUUUUUGGCACACGGAGGCCGCCCGCAAAGUCUGGGGCCAUUCCGAGUCCGGCGGACGAACUUCGCCCACGCCCCCCACCAAGGCUAUAGCCCACCCGUUUUUUGGCCAUUUUUCCGCUGGGGGGUCUUGGCGCCCCGACCUUCGGGGGCUGAUUUUUGGGCGCGGGUGUGCCCGUGGCCUAUUUUUGGCACACGGAGGCCGCCCGCAAAGUCUGGGGCCAUUCCGAGUCCGGCGGACGAACUUCGCCCACGCACCCCACCAAGGCUAUAGCCCACCCGUUUUUUGGCCAUUUUUCCGCUGGGGGGUCUUGGCGCCCCGACCUUCGGGGGCUGAUUUUUGGGCGCGGCUGUGCCCGUGGCCUAUUUUUGGCACACGGAGGCCGCCCGCAAAGUCUGGGGCCAUUCCGAGUCCGGCGGACGAACUUCGCCCGCGCCCCCCACCAAGGCUAUAGCCCCCCG
Molecule: long non-coding RNA, 1388 nt
Filed under: Citrus x clementina
Lineage: Eukaryota; Viridiplantae; Streptophyta; Magnoliopsida; Sapindales; Rutaceae
Description: Citrus clementina (C. clementina) long non-coding RNA (CCLE_LNC000652)
Source: RNAcentral